AAUGAACGCUGGCGGCAGGCCUAACACAUGCAAGUCGGACGGAUCCUUCGGGAUAAGUGGCGGACGGGUGAGUAACGCGUGGGAACAUACCCAAAGGUACGGAAUAGCCUCGGGAAACUGGGAGUAAUACCGUAUGUGCUCGAAAGAGGAAAGAUUUAUCGCCUUUGGAUUGGCCCGCGUUGGAUUAGGUAGUUGGUGGGGUAAUGGCCUACCAAGCCGACGAUCCAUAGCUGGUUUGAGAGGAUGAUCAGCCACACUGGGACUGAGACACGGCCCAGACUCCUACGGGAGGCAGCAGUGGGGAAUCUUAGACAAUGGGGGAAACCCUGAUCUAGCCAUGCCGCGUGAUCGAUGAGGGCCUUAGGGUUGUAAAGAUCUUUCAGGUGGGAAGAUAAUGACUGUACCACCAGAAGAAGCCCCGGCUAACUCCGUGCCAGCCGCCGCCGUAA
Molecule: ribosomal RNA, 449 nt
Filed under: uncultured bacterium
Lineage: Bacteria
Description: partial 16S ribosomal RNA
Rfam family: Bacterial small subunit ribosomal RNA
Source: RNAcentral